Molecule: unclassified non-coding RNA, 294 nt
Filed under: fungal sp.
Lineage: Eukaryota; Fungi
Description: partial internal transcribed spacer region
Rfam family: Eukaryotic small subunit ribosomal RNA (bases 1-46)
Source: RNAcentral
AAGUCGUAACAAGGUUUCCGUAGGUGAACCUGCGGAAGGAUCAUUAACACUUUUAAUUCAGGGUCUGGUUUUCUUUCAGAAAAACCGACCUAAUCCAAACCAAAUUACCCAAAACUUUACAAAAAAGUGCUGGUGUUUUGCAAUUCAUUUUGCAAAACCAUUUUUUCUCUAUUUUCUUUUCAAAAAAAAACCCCAAAUCUUUUCAUUGCAAAUGCAAUUGACAAAUCUUAAACCUUUUAUAAAAAAACUACUAAUGUAACCAAACAACUCUUAGCAACGGAUAUCUUGGCUCUC